RNAcentral lists this ribosomal RNA (422 nucleotides) under uncultured bacterium. Its description in RNAcentral is "partial 16S ribosomal RNA". It matches the Rfam family "Bacterial small subunit ribosomal RNA", at positions 360 to 774 of the family's 1533-position model. The record is from RNAcentral.
AAUAUUGGACAAUGUGGGCAACCCUGAUCCAGCCAUGCCGCGUGUGUGAAGAAGGUCUUCGGAUUGUAAAGCACUUUAAGAUGGGAGGUAGGCCUUUAGGCUACUACCCGGAAGUUCUGACGUUACCAACAGAAUAAGCAUCGGCUAACUCUGUGCCCGAAGCCGCGGUAAUACAGAGGGUGCAAGCGUUAAUCGGAAUUACUGGGCGUAAAGCGCGCAUAGGUGGUUCAGUAAGAUGGGUGUGAAAGCCCCGGGCUUAACCUGGGAACUGCUUUCAUAACUGCUGAGCUAGAGUACGGUAGAGGGUAGUGGAAUUUCCUGUGUAGCGGUGAAAUGCGUAGAUAUAGGAAGGAACACCAGUGGCGAAGGCGACUACCUGGACUGAUACUGACACUGAGGUGCGAAAGCGUGGGGAGCAAACA